This 931-nucleotide long non-coding RNA is filed under the name Gallus gallus (chicken). Lineage: Eukaryota; Metazoa; Chordata; Aves; Galliformes; Phasianidae. The record is from RNAcentral.
GGACCUUUUAUUGCAAAAAGCAACCAGAAAAACAAAAUGACAACGUACAAAACGUGAAGAGGUGGUGCAGCGAGCAGAGCUGCGUGAGCCCCGGCGGCACUGUGGGGCUGCGUGGCCGGGGGGAGCUGGGGGAGUCCCCUGGGAGAUGGGGGGCACCUGAGCAGCCCCCAGGGAUUCUGAGAUCACCCAGGAGCCGGGGGGGGGAGAUGAGCACCCCCAGGGGUUCGGGGACCAGUGGGGUUGGGGGUGAGGGGUGCAGCUGGGAAGUGAGUGCAGCAGCAGGACCCCCCGGCUCUGUGUUACUCAGCCUCUACAGGGAUGGGGUUCACCUGCCCCCCCACUUCAGCCGGCUGCUUCCUGCGUGCGUCAGCAGGGGGUCGGGGUGGGGGGUUGCUGGGGGGCUGCUUGAUGGUGUCCCCCAUGUGCGGCCGCUCCCGGGGCUUCUGCUCAAUGGGGCGCCACUCCUCCCCACGUACCGCUGCCAGCAGGUAGAUGCCGCUGGCAAUGCCCAGACAGACGGUGCCCAGAAUAGUGGAGAGCAGGAAGCCAGCAGGGACGGCCAGCGCUGCAUGCAGAAUAGCACGGAUGUAGUAAUUCCGGGUGAGCGGUCCGAACACCUUCAGCACGGCCGUCAUGUACCUCUGCCCGCAGCGCUCCAUGGUGGAGCCCUUCUGCCUCUUGCUGCGUGGGUACUCCAGCAGGCAGACGAAGGCACCUGCAGCAAUGGCGUACGCAGCGAAGUACCACCCCUUGAACUGCCCCGCCACCGCCACGACCCCUCCGGUCAGCAUAAUCAGUCCGGCCGCCAGCGCCUGUUCGUUGGCCCACAUGGCCCACUCGAUCUGCCCCAUGGCCCGGCUCGGCUUAGUUCGGCUCGGCCCGACCCGGAAGGCAGCGGUGCAGCCGCGCAGCCGAACCCCUUCCCCUCUUU